Molecule: ribosomal RNA, 429 nt
Filed under: Verrucomicrobiota bacterium
Lineage: Bacteria; Pseudomonadati; Verrucomicrobiota
Description: Verrucomicrobia bacterium partial 16S ribosomal RNA
Rfam family: Bacterial small subunit ribosomal RNA
Source: RNAcentral
UAGGGAAUCUUCCGCAAUGGACGCAAGUCUGACGGAGCAACGCCGCGGGAGUGAAGAAGGUUUUCGGAUCGUAAAACUCUGUUGUAAGAGAAGAACAAAUUGUAGAGUAACUGCUACAGUCUUGACGGUAUCUUACCAGAAAGCCACGGCUAACUACGUGCCAGCAGCCGCGGUAAUACGUAGGUGGCAAGCGUUGUCCGGAUUUAUUGGGCGUAAAGGGGGCGCAGGCUGCUUCUUAAGUCUGAUGUGAAAGCCCACGGCUUAACCGUGGAAGUGCAUUGGAAACUGGGAAGCUUGAGUACAGAAGAGGAAAGUGGAACUCCAUGUGUAGCGGUGGAAUGCGUAGAUAUAUGGGAGAAAACCAGGGGCGAAAGCGACUUUCUGGUCUGUCACUGACGCUGAGGUCCGAAAGCGUGGGUAGCAAACAGG